This is a non-coding RNA of Caenorhabditis elegans, 145 nucleotides long. Lineage: Eukaryota; Metazoa; Nematoda; Chromadorea; Rhabditida; Rhabditidae. The record is from Ensembl.
UGCAAAAAACACAAAAAAUGGGGGAACCGGUGGUUUCCCUUUAUAUCUUUCUGCACUACUGAUAUUUUUCUGCGUCUCUUCAUCUUAUAAACUAUUUCAUGUAGUUCUGACUUUUGAAGAGACGCAGCAGUUGUGAAGUGUGAAC